UAAACAGACGCUUAUUAAAACCUAUAUAAAUUAGCAAGUUAUAUGUGCAUUAUUACUUGUACUCCAUGCUUGAGGAGUGUUUCAGACAAAAAAAAAAACUUUUGAUUUUUCUUCUUCAUCCUCUAUCCCCAAUUUACAGUUUACAACAAUGGAUACAACCUCACUUCUAAUCUAUUAACCAUUAUCAUGCUCAUUAUCCUCUUCUAAACCUAAAAUCACUCUCAAUUCCUCAUCCUUCACCUGUUAUGCAUUCGGAAAAUGCUUGCGGUGGAACUUUCUCCCGCCAACAACCACCGUCAUUCUGCGUCACCUCAAGCGUCACUCUUCCGCACAUCGGCGCUUGCUGUUGGUGAAAUAGUGGAGAAAUCUAGCUUAGAGGACUCGGUUUCGUGUGUUUCUAAAGACCGGAUUCCCAAAAUCUUGCACUGUAUGUUCAUUUCACCUCAAAUUCAUGCGAUUUCAUUGAAUUUUAUUUGUGUAUUGUAUUAUACACAAAGUGAGCAUGAUUGUGUUGCUUGAGACAAAUUGUUUGUUAAUUGUACUUCAAAACUUUUCAUUGAGUUUUUAGUUUUCAUCAUGUAUCAUAGUAUGUCACAACGCAAUACACAGAAACCCAUCUAGAGAGAAAGAGAAAGCGAGAGGAGUGAUGGGAAGUGGCGGUGUGAUGACGGUGGUGAAAGGUUGUGGUGGUGAAAGGGGAUUGUGGCUGUCGCGGUGGCGGUGAUGGUGACGGUUGCUACGGACAAUUUUUCUGUGGAUUUCACUCGCCGAGCAUCUUCUCUCUCUUCACCGUAUCAUCUCUGAUCUACCAUUAAAACACCUUUCACUUCAUGUCUUCAUCUCAUAUUUCAAUUCUCAAUCAUAAGUCAUAGGUUUCAGGUUAGGUUUCUGGUGACAGAGUUGACCAGCGACCUCUCACAAGGUCUGUUUUUUGGUUGUGUGAUUAGUAGAUUUUAGUGAUUGAUGAGUUUAUAUUAAAUGGAGAUUUUCGAAUAGGGCCCAAAAUUUUAUCUCGCACAUUAUAAUGUUCGUUGUGUGAUGCAGCCAAUGUUAUAAAGUUUUUCAUGAAAAGUUAAUUGUUUUCCGAAAAAAAGAAGUUUCUUUGGGCUAAUCAAAGAAUACAUUAGCAAACCUUGAACCAACACGGUUACACGGGAGGUGUUUGAUGAAAUGUUUGAAUGAGGUGCAUAUUCUGAUUCCUGCACUUUUAAGUUUUUCGUCACCACUUGGUCUAAAACUGAUGAAUUUUCCAAUGUGGUUAAUGGUUAAGUGCAUUGUUAGACAAGGAAGUUACACUAAUGAAAAGGAAGAGCUCGCACGCGCAGUUGACGUCUGGACUGAUAAUGACCAAGCAAUCAUUAGCUAUGCGUGUGAGGGUUGUGAAAACUUACAGCAACAUUACAUAUGACAAAAAAAUUUGUAGAUCUGUCAAAGUAGCUCUAAUCUUGUGAUGUUUAAACUUUAGGCUUUGUAAAUUACCAAAUUAGAAUAUUACUUAUUAAAUGUUUUGACAUUUGUUUUUGCAACAGAAUUUUACUCAAUAUAGGUGAUUUUAUCAAGCCUAAUUGUACUUUAUGGUUCAGUACUUUCCUCUUUCCUCUAUUACGUGGCCCCGAGGUCCUGAAGAAGUUCUAUAGCCAGCCAACAAUGUCAUAUUUGGAGUGCUGGUGUCAUAAGAUGUAUUUUGCUAUGUGGGUUCCCACCAUUCUCGGUAUAAUUAUUUGCUUUGUUUUUUAUAGCUUUUUCCUUAUGAUGAUACGAUCUUAAGGUUUCAUUUAAUCAUUUUUUAUUUGUGAAACGGAACAAGGAAUAUACGAGCAGGUUUUGAAAGGUGUGUCUAUUUUGUAUUUGCCUGCCUUCUUUCUACUCUAUUUCCCUUAUGUGCAAGAGCCUAUGAUGAGUUAAGUCGCGAUCGGCUCUUGGCGUGUCAGGAUCGGAGGACGGAAAGUGCGAGUUUCUCUAUUUGCAACCUCUGAUGCAGCCAUGGUGGUCUAAUAGACAGAUCUAAACCACGCUAUAUUAGUCGGAAAAUCUGAGCCAAACAAGUUGGUCCAUUAUGCUAACAUAUCAUUAUAUUACCUCCUUUUGUAAAUGCAAUUUGUAUCCAUUCAUAUUGAUACAACUAUUUGACUCGAUGUUUUCUCUUUUGGUUACUUUGGCGAGUGUCGAUGUCGUAACGAAUUGAACGAAUACCGGACAAUCUUUUAGCUUCUAUGAUAUGUGAAUGUCAACCCGGCCGCAACGCGGCGGGUGUUACAUCUAGUU
Long non-coding RNA from Helianthus annuus (common sunflower), 2265 nucleotides. RefSeq lists it as uncharacterized. NCBI's taxonomy places the organism in Eukaryota, Viridiplantae, Streptophyta, Magnoliopsida, Asterales, Asteraceae. The transcript is spliced from 3 exons. The record is from RefSeq and is a predicted model, not a curated record.